AGCAGCCGCGGUAAUUCCAGCUCCAAUAGCGUAUAUUAAAGUUGUUGCAGUUAAAAAGCUCGUAGUUGAAUUUCGGGGUUAGUAGGUUGGUCAUGCCUCUGGUAUGUACUGGUCUCACUGAUUCCUCCUUCCUGAUGAGCCGUAAUGCCAUUAAUUUGGUGUUGCGGGGAAUUUGGACUGUUACUUUGAAAAAAUUAGAGUGUUUAAAGCAGGCUCGCGCUUGAAUACAUUAGCAUGGAAUAAUGAAAUAGGACGUUUGAUUCUAUUUUGUUGGUUUCUAGGAUCGACGUAAUGAUUAAUAGGGAUAGUUGGGGGCAUUAGUAUUCAAUUGUCAGAGGUGAAAUUCUUGGAUUUAUUGAAGACUAACUACUGCGAAAGCAUUUGCCAAGGAUGUUUUCAUUAAUCAAGAACGAAAGUUAGGGGAUCGAAGACGAUCAGAUACCGUCGUAGUCUUAACCAUAAACUAUGCCGACUAGGGAUCGGAUGAUGUUAAUUUUUUAAUGACUCAUUCGGCGCCUUA
Molecule: ribosomal RNA, 520 nt
Filed under: uncultured Glomus
Lineage: Eukaryota; Fungi; Glomeromycota; Glomeromycetes; Glomerales; Glomeraceae
Description: SSU rRNA
Rfam family: Eukaryotic small subunit ribosomal RNA
Source: RNAcentral